CUUGGUCAUUUAGAGGAAGUAAAAGUCGUAACAAGGUUUCCGUAGGUGAACCUGCGGAAGGAUCAUUACUGAGUGAGGGCCCUCUGGGUCCAACCUCCCACCCGUGUUUAUUUACCUUGUUGCUUCGGCGGGCCCGCCUUAACUGGCCGCCGGGGGGCUUACGCCCCCGGGCCCGCGCCCGCCGAAGACACCCUCGAACUCUGUCUGAAGAUUGUAGUCUGAGUGAAAAUAUAAAUUAUUUAAAACUUUCAACAACGGAUCUCUUGGUUCCGGCAUCGAUGAAGAACGCAGCGAAAUGCGAUACGUAAUGUGAAUUGCAAAUUCAGUGAAUCAUCGAGUCUUUGAACGCACAUUGCGCCCCCUGGUAUUCCGGGGGGCAUGCCUGUCCGAGCGUCAUUGCUGCCCUCAAGCACGGCUUGUGUGUUGGGCCCCGUCCUCCGAUUCCGGGGGACGGGCCCGAAAGGCAGCGGCGGCACCGCGUCCGGUCCUCGAGCGUAUGGGGCUUUGUCACCCGCUCUGUAGGCCCGGCCGGCGCUUGCCGAUCAACCCAAAUUUUUAUCCAGGUUGACCUCGGAUCAGGUAGGGAUACCCGCUGAACUUAAGCAUAUCAAUAAGCGGAGGA
RNAcentral lists this ribosomal RNA (622 nucleotides) under uncultured Penicillium. RNAcentral describes it as "eukaryotic LSU rRNA". The stretch from base 244 to 396 matches the Rfam family "5.8S ribosomal RNA". The record is from RNAcentral. Lineage: Eukaryota; Fungi; Ascomycota; Eurotiomycetes; Eurotiales; Aspergillaceae.